UGCCUGCUCCCCAUUUCUAUCUCCACCCACCAUCAGAUAGCAAUUCAGGGGUAAAACAUCAACUGGGAAGGGGAAGGCGAGUUUAACUAGAGUCUAGAGAGGAUUUCCAGGGGCUAUGCCAUCACUCUGCCGUCAAGAAGGAAGGCGUCUAAAUCUGACAAGAGGGGCCAAAGGAAAGAGUCCCAGAUAGACGGAUGACAUCCAAUUCACUGGUGAAGUGGAGACUCAGAUGAAGAAAGCAGGGAUGGCUCCUGUUUCUCUGAAGAGUUCUGGAUGUGGGAACAAUUCAGCUUUUUCCCACUUCUCAGCCAUACCAUCGUCAGUCACCUCAGAAUGUUUAAUUCUUUGGCAGACGGAACUGGUGAGGUGGCCCCCAUUACCGCCUUUCUUGACGUCAGUGAGGGAGUUGUUCCCUGUGGCUGUCUUAUGUGAAAUAAUUCAGCAUUUGUACUUCAAUUAAAUUCAUAGGUAUAUAUUAUUAAAUGGUACUGAC
Molecule: long non-coding RNA, 493 nt
Filed under: Equus caballus (horse)
Lineage: Eukaryota; Metazoa; Chordata; Mammalia; Perissodactyla; Equidae
Description: lncRNA (ENSECAG00000047658.1)
Source: RNAcentral